RNAcentral lists this long non-coding RNA (213 nucleotides) under Mytilus galloprovincialis (Mediterranean mussel). Lineage: Eukaryota; Metazoa; Mollusca; Bivalvia; Mytilida; Mytilidae. The record is from RNAcentral.
AUUUGAAGUUCAAAUGUACUUGAUACACAUGAUACAUAUGUACAUGUAAAUAGCAAUUAAGCAUUCAUGAUUGAGGUAAAAAAUAUUAUCACUCGCGAGAAAAAAACAUAUUUUCACCGGAUUUUUCUCAACCAAUCUACCAUACAUAUUUUGUAAAAAAAGUAUUUGUAGAUACUAGUACAAAAUGAAGAUGGACGUACUGUACAAGACCCG